CGGGGCGUGGCGCAGUCUGGUAGCGCACUUGUCUGGGGGACAAGUGGCCGCUGGUUCAAAUCCAGUCGCUCCGA
RNAcentral lists this transfer RNA (74 nucleotides) under Desulfamplus magnetovallimortis. It matches the Rfam family "tRNA". Rfam says of the family: Transfer RNA (tRNA) molecules are approximately 80 nucleotides in length. Their secondary structure includes four short double-helical elements and three loops (D, anti-codon, and T loops). Lineage: Bacteria; Pseudomonadati; Thermodesulfobacteriota; Desulfobacteria; Desulfobacterales; Desulfobacteraceae. The record is from Rfam by way of RNAcentral.